CCUACGGGGGGCUGCAGUCGAGAAUUUUUCACAAUGGGCGCAAGCCUGAUGGAGCGACGCCGCGUGGGGGAUGAAUGGCUUCGGCCCGUAAACCCCUGUCAUUUGCGAUCAACCGUUAUUAUUUAAAAGAUGAUAACCUGAUAGUAGCGAAAGAGGAAGGGACGGCUAACUCUGUGCCAGCAGCCGCGGUAAUACAGAGGUCCCAAGCGUUGUUCGGAUUUACUGGGCGUAAAGGGUGCGUAGGUGGCGGUGUAAGUCGGAUGUGAAAUCUCCGAGCUCAACUCGGAAACUGCAUUGGAAACUACAUUGCUCGAGGGUUGGAGGGGGGACUGGAAUACUUGGUGUAGCAGUGAAAUGCGUAGAUAUCAAGUGGAACACCAGUGGCGAAGGCGAGUCCCUGGACAACUCCUGACACUGAGGCACGAAAGCUAGGGGAGCAAACAGGAUUAGAUACCCCAGUAGUC
This 464-nucleotide ribosomal RNA is filed under the name uncultured Verrucomicrobiota bacterium. RNAcentral's name for it is "bacterial SSU rRNA". It matches the Rfam family "Bacterial small subunit ribosomal RNA", at positions 338 to 795 of the family's 1533-position model. Lineage: Bacteria; Pseudomonadati; Verrucomicrobiota. The record is from RNAcentral.